RNAcentral lists this non-coding RNA (148 nucleotides) under Chlorocebus sabaeus (green monkey). The record is from Rfam by way of RNAcentral. Lineage: Eukaryota; Metazoa; Chordata; Mammalia; Primates; Cercopithecidae.
GCCAGGCGUGGUGGCGUGCACCUGUAAUCCCAGCUACUCAGGAGGCUGAGGCAGGAGAAUUGCUUGAACCCGGGAGGUGGAGGUUGCAGUUAGCCGAGAUCACACCACUGCACUUCAACCUGGGCAAUAGAGCAAGACCCUGUCUCAA